Molecule: ribosomal RNA, 463 nt
Filed under: uncultured Desulfovibrio sp.
Lineage: Bacteria; Pseudomonadati; Thermodesulfobacteriota; Desulfovibrionia; Desulfovibrionales; Desulfovibrionaceae
Description: bacterial SSU rRNA
Rfam family: Bacterial small subunit ribosomal RNA
Source: RNAcentral
GCACAAGCGGUGAGUAUGUGGUUUAAUUCGACGCAACGCGCAGAACCUUUACCUAGACUUGACAUCCCGGGGAUUUUCUGGAAACAGAGAAGUGCUUUAGCAAUAAAGAACCCGGUGACAGGUGCUGCAUGGCUGUCGUCAGCUCGUGUCGUGAGAUGUUGGGUUAAGUCCCGCAACGAGCGCAACCCUCGCCUUUAGUUGCCAGCAUUCAGUUGGGCACUCUAGAGGGACUGCCGGUGUCAAACCGGAGGAAGUGGGGAUGACGUCAAGUCCUCAUGGCCUUUAUGUCUAGGGCUACACACGUACUACAAUGGCCGGUACAAAGGGCAGCCACUCAGCGAUGAGGCGCUAAUCCCAUAAAGCCGGUCUCAGUCCGGAUCGCAGUCUGCAACUCGACUGCGUGAAGUUGGAAUCGCUAGUAAUCGCGGAUCAGCACGCCGCGGUGAAUACGUUCCCGGGCCUU